UAGUAAGACCCCUGGAAGACUACCAGGUUGAUAGGUUAGAGGUGUAAGCACAGCAAUGUGUUCAGCUGACUAAUACUAAUAGGUCGAGGGCUUGACCAAUAUAA
This 104-nucleotide ribosomal RNA is filed under the name Clostridiaceae bacterium. RNAcentral describes it as "partial 23S ribosomal RNA". It matches the Rfam family "Bacterial large subunit ribosomal RNA", at positions 2826 to 2925 of the family's 2925-position model. Lineage: Bacteria; Bacillati; Bacillota; Clostridia; Eubacteriales; Clostridiaceae. The record is from RNAcentral.